CGGGAACGAUCCUGAGAGCAGCGGGAAGGAACUGGGAGCGCUUUCCCUGCCGGGGCCGCUCUUACUGGGAGCACUGGGAGGGAACUGGGAGCAAACAGCGCCCGGACGGGGCUGCGGCCGGAGGGGACACUGUGGGCUGGGCAGCGGGGACACCGGAAGAGAGGAAAGGCACCGAACAGCGGGGACACGGACCAGGGGGUGACACCGAGCAAGGGGAGCACCACACCGAGGUGACACCGGUGGGUGUGCGCAGAGACCGAGUGGCUGCUGAGUCGUGGCACAGCACGGCCGAGGCAGCUUCGGUGCCGGUAGUGGAGGAGGAGCUGUGGUGCUGGCUCAGGUAAUUCCUCUUGAGCCUCUGUGACAAGUACCAGGCCCGCGGCAGGCAGCCCGUGAAACUGGCGCUGGAGCUCGCCAAGAUCAUCCUUGUCACUGUGCAGGUGACACCACAGGGACAGCGAGCUGGGACAGUGGGGAUGGCUGGUGGCGACACUGGGGAUGGCAGCAUGAGGGGCUGGGAUACCAGGGAGGGAGCACGGGGACAUGGGGACACUUUGACAGGUAUGCUGGGGUGUCCUGGGACAAAGCAUUGGCAGUAUGACUGUGGUGAGAAAGGGGCUGAUGGCAGUGGUGGCCUUUGUCCCAAACCAUGGGGUGACACUGUUUUGGCGUGAAACACGGUGGUGUCACCAGGGUGGGACAGGGCCUGACCAUGGAGGACUUUGCUCCCAAGAAUGGGGUGACACCAUUUGAGGACAAAACACACCAUUGUCACCAUGAUAGAACCGGUCAUGACAGAGGUGGUGGCCUUUGUCACCAAGCUGGUCCUGUUCAGGCUCAUCAACCAGCUGGUGGUGGCCUUCAAGGAGGACAACACAGUGACCUUCAAGCACCUGUUCCUCAAGGGCUACGAGGACGGCACUAAUGACACCCAGGCCAUCUACACCCAUGGGGACCACCUGGAGCACUGACCUUUGUCUUUGAGAAGGUGGCAUGGGGACACUGGGAAGGGUUGGGGACAUCAGGGGAGUUGGGGACAUUGUGGGGCUUGAGGACAAGGGGACCUCCUGGAGCAUGUGGCCUAUGCCCUUGAGAAGGUGGCACAGGGACACCAGGCAGGGUUGGGGUCACUGGCAGGGGUUGGGGAUACAGUGGUGGUUUGGGGACAUGGAGGUUCUCAGGGCUGUGGAGAUGACUGGGGACACCAGGGUGAUUUGGGGACACUGAGGUACCACAGGGCCACCUCCAGCCCCGUGUCCCUGUCCCCACAGUAUUUGGCUGUCUCCAACAAGACCCUUGGCCACCAUGUUUUGGGAACAGAGAUGUAUUUGGGACAUGGAGAUAUUUGAGUAAACGGGGAUUAUGUGGGACUAUCAAGGUGCCACCACCAGCACUGCUGUCCCUGUCCCCACAGUACCUGGCUGUCCCCAAUGAGACCUUUGGCCACCACACCUAUGGCUGAGGACAUGGAGAUGUUUUGGCACUAUGGGGUGGUUUGGGGCCAUCAAGGUGCCCCAGGGCCACCUCCAGCCUUUGUGUCCCUGUCCCUGUAGUACCUGGCUGUUCCCAGUGGGACGCUGGGCCACUGUUUCUAUGAAUACAGACAUGAACAUGGUUUGGGGACCCAGAGAUGUUUGGGGUCAUGUAGAUCUUUUGGGGGUAUGGGGUGGAUUGGGGACACUGAGGUGCCCCAGUGCCACCCCCAGCUGUGUCCCUGUCCCUGUAGUACCUGGCUUUCCACAAUGGGACCCUGGGCCACUAUGCCCAUGGUGGCACCAGGGGUGGCACCAGGCUCCAGCUGUGCCAGCACUUCUUCCACGGGUUGGACAUCGAGCCCAGCAACGACACCUUCAACUCAACCCCACCGUCGUCACUGGGGGUUCGGGUGUGGGGUUUGGGGAUGGGGAUUUGGGGUGCAGGGUGCUGGGUUUGAGAUUUGAGGUUUGGCUUUGGGGUUUGGCAUUUGAGGUAUAGGUUUGGGGUUUGGGAAUUGGGGUUUGGGAUGGUCCCACGGGUUUGGGGUUUACGAUUUGACACUUGGGGUUUGGGAUGGUCUUAGGGUGUUUGGGGGUUUGAGAUUCAGGCAUUCGGAUGGUCUCAGGGGAUUUGGAAUGGUCCCAGGUGAUUUGAUAUUUGGGGUUUGGGAAGGUCUCAGGGGAUUUGGGAGUUGGGAUGGUCUCAGAGGAUUUGGGAUGCUCUCAGGGCAUUAGGGGUGGUCCAAGAGGUUUGGGAGCUGGGAUUUGGGGUUAGGGUUUGGAUUUGAGGUGCAGGGUUUGGCAUAGUCCCUGGGCAUUUGGGGAUUGGGAUUUGGGAUGUUGCCUGGCAUUUGGCAGCUGGGAUUUGGGGUUUGGAUGUGGGAGCUGGGAGUUGGGAUUUGGGAUGGUCCUGAAGCAUUCAGAAUGGUCCCAGGGCAUUUGGGAUUCAGGAUUUGGGAAGUCUCAGGGGCUUUGGACUUCCGGCAUUCCCUGACCCCAAUCCCAACCCCACAGAGAUCCUGAGAGUACACCCUGGGGCCCCCCAGCUGCAGGUGCUGGAUGGCACUAAUGGCAACUUCACCCUCCAAUUCCACAUGUAAAUCCCAAAACCCCCCAAAAUUCCUGAUAAUCCCACUUAUGGGUGUUUCCCAUCCCUAAAAUCCCAGUGUGGGAUUUGUGUUCACUUUUCCCAGAUUUCUGCGUGGCGUUUUGGGGUGGAAUUUUCCCUUUCCCAUGGUUAUUUUUUUGGAAAUUUUGUGGCCAAGUUUUCCCUUUUCCAUUUGUUUUUUGAGGAUUUUGGUGCAGAAUUUUUCCUUUUCUAGGUUUUUUGGGGGAGUUUGGGAACUCCUGGGGUUUUUUUGGGGGGAGAUUUUUUUUAAUUAUUAUUAUUGCAUUCCCACUUUUUGGGGGGGAUUUUGGUGUGAAAUUUGAAUUUCUGGGGGAUUUUAGCAUGGAAUUUUUCCUUUUUCUGGUGUUUUUUUUGGGACUUUGAGAACUCAUGGGAUUUUUUUGGGAUUUUGGAGCAGAUUUGUUCCCUUUACUGUUGUUCCUUUGGGGAUUUUGGGGAGAAAUUUUCCUCUUUCUUUGGUUUAUUUUGGGAUUUUGAGGUGGAAUUUUUUCAUUUUUUGGGGCAAUUUCAGGGAUAUGGGGUGGUUUUUUUUUUAUUUUGGGGCCUCCUGGAUUGUUUUUUGUCCCCUCAGGCUGAUCAGUGUCACUGUGGAGUUCCAGCUCAUGGCCAUGAACAUCCAAACACUGCUGAACCAUGAAAUCCCUGACUGAUACACCUUCAGUGUCACCGUGAGUGUCCCUAAGUGUCCCCGAGUGUCUGCAAAUAUCCUAAAGUCCCUAAUAAAUAUCCUAUCCCACUCAUGUCCCCCUUG
This is a long non-coding RNA of Passer domesticus (house sparrow), 3355 nucleotides long. RefSeq lists it as uncharacterized. Lineage: Eukaryota; Metazoa; Chordata; Aves; Passeriformes; Passeridae. The record is from RefSeq and is a predicted model, not a curated record. The transcript has 2 exons.